This 499-nucleotide ribosomal RNA is filed under the name uncultured bacterium. RNAcentral's name for it is "partial 16S ribosomal RNA". It matches the Rfam family "Bacterial small subunit ribosomal RNA", at positions 30 to 523 of the family's 1533-position model. The record is from RNAcentral.
AUUGAACGCUGGCGGCAUGCUUUACACAUGCAAGUCGAACGGUAACAGGGUGCUUGCACCGCUGACGAGUGGCGAACGGGUGAGUAAUGCGUCGGAACGUGCCGAGUAGUGGGGGAUAACGCAGCGAAAGUUGUGCUAAUACCGCAUACGUACUGAGGUAGAAAGCGGGGGACCUUCGGGCCUCACGCUAUUCGAGCGGCCGACGUCUGAUUAGCUAGUAGGUGAGGUAAAGGCUCACCUAGGCGACGAUCAGUAGCGGGUCUGAGAGGAUGAUCCGCCACACUGGGACUGAGACACGGCCCAGACUCCUACGGGAGGCAGCAGUGGGGAAUUUUGGACAAUGGGCGAAAGCCUGAUCCAGCCAUGCCGCGUGUCUGAAGAAGGCCUUCGGGUUGUAAAGGACUUUUGUCAGGGAGGAAAUCCCUAGUGCUAUAACACUGGGGGAUGACAGUACCUGAAGAAUAAGCACCGGCUAACUACGUGCCAGCCGCCGCGGUAA